Molecule: long non-coding RNA, 888 nt
Organism: Corticium candelabrum
Lineage: Eukaryota; Metazoa; Porifera; Homoscleromorpha; Homosclerophorida; Plakinidae
Exons: 3
Source: RefSeq, a predicted model, not a curated record
GUUACCGUCAGAUGAUGUUUAAUUUUUGUGUGUGACAGUUCUUGUACUGAUUGAAUGUUUUGCUACUUCUGGUGGUUGCACUGUGUCAGCUGAGAGAAAUCAGCAGAGUAAGACAUAUACUAAAAUAUCUGCUGGUGUUCCAAUAGUACGUGGAUUGCCUGGAUUGAACAAGUUCCAGAACGACAUGAAAUGAAGGGAGAGAAAGAAGUGAAAAUGUGAGAAAGGGUUAGUUGGAAGAACCGGCUUAAAAGAAAUAAGAGGUGAACAAAGAGAGAAAGACAAAGAAGUCACGAAAAUGAACAAUUGAAAACUGUGUGUAUGGAACGAUUCAGAACUGUAAUUUUAGCAAACAAAACGUCCAGUCAACUCGACGUGUUGCCUAUGCAGGAAAUGUCGGGGUUUAUUGCGAAAAGAGGGGUGCUGCAUGUUCUUGAUGGUAUUUUACAUUCAACGGUAAAAAGUGCAGUGGACCUAUACUUAUCACUAUUGAGGGAGUUGUGUAUGGUAAUCAAGCAAAGGAUUUUGCACUUUGUCUCAGACAUAUUGAGGGAUACUGUGAGGACAUUCCAUCAGGUCAAGUCAAAAUUGGAUUCAACAUUGGAGACUGUGCAGAAUCAUGACAGAAACCGUCAUCGUAUACAGGAUAUCUAACAGUACUGUAUCUCGCAUUAUGUUGAAGACGUUGCUCCACCACGAAAUUAAGUGACUGAAUUAGAGAGGAGUUUGGAACUUGUGUUCAGUAACUGUAUUGUUUGCAGUACGUACAGUACGAGGUAGCUGAAGUAGGAGGCUGGAUGGUGUGCGUGCAUAUGUCUCUCUUUGUAUGAGAGUGCAUGAUGCACAGAUGAAACAGUUGUCAUGAGAUUUAAUUAAUCAACUUGAAUUUGA